GCGGCACAUGCCAGCGGCUUUGGGGCCCGGUGUGACACGGGGGCAGGCGGCAUCCCCGGGCACGAGCGAGCGAUCCGUCCACGCCGCAUCUGUCUCUGAGCAGCUUGGCGCACGGGUCCGCUCCCUCCGGGCGGGAUGGACAGACAGACGAUGCCCAGGAAGUUGAGAUGCCUUGCUGGGUGCAGUGGGGUCAGACCGGAGAGUCUUCACUGAAGUCCUCAGCUCCAGCUCUGCACAGGCAGUCACAGCCCCACUGCCCUGGGAACCUUCAGCACCAAGUCUACACCACCACGCUGUGUGGACACAGAUCUGAGGAACCCAAGGCUGCUCAACGGACUCUUAGCUAAGGUCUUGCUACGGG
RNAcentral lists this long non-coding RNA (361 nucleotides) under Cavia porcellus (domestic guinea pig). RNAcentral's name for it is "lncRNA (ENSCPOG00000033030.1)". The record is from RNAcentral. Lineage: Eukaryota; Metazoa; Chordata; Mammalia; Rodentia; Caviidae.